RNAcentral lists this long non-coding RNA (928 nucleotides) under Malus domestica (apple). RNAcentral describes it as "long non-coding RNA (MDOM_LNC020386)". Lineage: Eukaryota; Viridiplantae; Streptophyta; Magnoliopsida; Rosales; Rosaceae. The record is from RNAcentral.
ACACAGGGACUUUCCAAUUAUCCAGCAAUGGUACUGUUCCUUUACCCUCUCUUCGAUUUUGAGAAAGUAGUCAUGUUGGGAGUCUGGCUCUCGAGAUUCAGAGGACGGUGCCUCUUCGAUUUUGGAGCAAGCAAUCUUGUUGGGAGUGUUUUCUCGAAUGUGAGUAAAGGUUGGGCAUGUUUGCUAGUCUACCUUGCCACGAAGCACAGAGGUUGACACACAGGGACUUUCCAAUUAUCCAGCAGUGGUACUGUUCCUUUACCCUUGUGGGUAAUAAUAUGGUAGCUAGACCUUCAAAAUUUAUGUGUCUAAACUUUGUUAGUGCUGUUUCUUUGCUAUUCUUUUACCUUUCUUGGUCAGAGCGAUGUAGUGGGAGCUGCAAGCUUCACGUGCUCAACUUUGGCAGAGAACUUUGACAAAGUUAUCUGUGGUACCCAUAAGCUAUUGUUGCGUGUGGGAAGUGGGUAAUUGAACAGUAAGAUUCAUGUGCUUUCUACUUCACCAGAAAUCUUCGACAGAAUGCCCAUAAUUUCUGCAAAGCUGAGUGUGCGUGUGACAGGUGCUGACAAGGCUAGAAAAGUAGGUGCCUCUUCGAUUUCUGAGAUCGGCCCUCGUGGUCUCUGAGCAGCCCAGCUUUUGAGAAAGCGAGCGCCUCUUCGAUUGAUUCGGAGAACGAUGCCUCAUCGAUUUUUGAGAAAACAAUCAUGCUGGGGGUUUGGCUCUCGAAGAUUCGGGGAGCAGUGUCUCUUCGAUUUUUGAGAAAGUAAUCAUGUUGGGAGUCUGGCUCUCGAGAUUCGGAAGGCGGUGCCUCUUCGAUUUUGGAGCAAGCAAUCUUGUUGGGAGUGUUUUCUCGAAUGUGAGUAAAGGUUGGGCAUGUUUGCUAGUCUACCUUGCCACGAAGCACAGAGGUUGACACACAGGGACUUUC